Molecule: ribosomal RNA, 820 nt
Filed under: uncultured bacterium
Lineage: Bacteria
Description: bacterial SSU rRNA
Rfam family: Bacterial small subunit ribosomal RNA
Source: RNAcentral
AGAGUUUGAUCCUGGCUCAGGAUGAACGCUGGCGGCGUGCCUAACACAUGCAAGUCGAACGGAGUUCUUAAGGAAUGCGACUUCGGUCAAAUGACUUUUGAACUUAGUGGCGGACGGGUGAGUAACGCGUGAGCAACCUGCCUUUCAGAGGGGGAUAACAUUUGGAAACAGAUGCUAAUACCGCAUAAGAUUACAGUACCGCAUGAUACAGUGAUCAAAGGAGCAAUCCGCUGAAAGAUGGGCUCGCGUCCGAUUAGAUAGUUGGUGAGGUAACGGCUCACCAAGUCGACGAUCGGUAGCCGGACUGAGAGGUUGAACGGCCACAUUGGGACUGAGACACGGCCCAGACUCCUACGGGAGGCAGCAGUGGGGGAAUAUUGCACAAUGGGGCGAAAGCCUGAUGCAGCAACGCCGCGUGAGGGGAAAGACCGGUUUUCGGAUUGUAAACCCUCUGUUUUUCGGUGACGAACCAAAUUGACGGUAACCGAGUAGGGAGGCCACGGCUAACUACGUGCCAGCAGCCGCGGUAAUACGUAGGUGGCAAGCGUUAUCCGGAAAUUACUGGGUGUAAAGGGAGCGCAGGCGGGAUAGCAAGUCAGCUGUGAAAACUAUGGGCUCAACCCAUAAACUGCAGUUGAAACUGUUAUUCUUGAGUGGAGUAGAGGCAAGCGGAAUUCCGAGUGUAGCGGUGAAAUGCGUAGAUAUUCGGAGGAACACCAGUGGCGAAGGCGGCUUGCUGGGCUCUAACUGACGCUGAGGCUCGAAAGUGUGGGGAGCAAACAGGAUUAGAUACCCUGGUAGUCCACACUGUAAACGAUGA